This 465-nucleotide ribosomal RNA is filed under the name uncultured bacterium. RNAcentral's name for it is "partial 16S ribosomal RNA". It matches the Rfam family "Bacterial small subunit ribosomal RNA", at positions 28 to 507 of the family's 1533-position model. The record is from RNAcentral.
GACGAACGCUGGCGGUGUGCUUAACACAUGCAAGUCGAACGGUAAGGCCCUUUCGGGGGUACACGAGUGGCGAACGGGUGAGUAACACGUGAGUAACCUGCCCUCAUCUCUGGGAUAACAGUCGGAAACGGUUGCUAAUACUGGAUAUGAGCCUGCAAGGCAUCUUGUGGGUUGGAAAGAUUUUUUGGUUGGGGAUGGACUCGCGGCCUAUCAGCUUGUUGGUGAGGUAGUGGCUCACCAAGGCUUCGACGGGUAGCCGGCCUGAGAGGGCGACCGGCCACAUUGGGACUGAGAUACGGCCCAAACUCCUACGGGAGGCAGCAGUGGGGAAUAUUGCACAAUGGACGGAAGUCUGAUGCAGCAACGCCGCGUGCGGGAUGACGGCCUUCGGGUUGUAAACCGCUUUCAAUUGUGACGAAGCCUUUUGUGACGGUAGCAGUAGAAGAAGCACCGGCUAACUACGUG